CUAGGUCGCCCUCUUCCUCUCCCAAAGGUCUAAAAACGGCUAUCAUGCUCAUCACCUGAGAAAUCUGGAAGGAAAGAAAUGAGAGAGUCUUCAACAAGAAAUCCUCUCUGCCGGUGGUGGUCAUGCACAAGAUAAGAGAGGUAGCAAAAGAUUGGAUUCUAGCGGGAGCAAAAAACUUGGCGGAUCUUGUGGGCUGAUCUGUUUGUUG
RNAcentral lists this long non-coding RNA (208 nucleotides) under Hordeum vulgare. Its description in RNAcentral is "long non-coding RNA (HVUL_LNC020898)". Lineage: Eukaryota; Viridiplantae; Streptophyta; Magnoliopsida; Poales; Poaceae. The record is from RNAcentral.